CAGUCGCCGCGGUAAUACGUAGGGUGCGAGCGUUAAUCGGAAUUACUGGGCGUAAAGCGUGCGCAGGCGGUUAUAUAAGACAGAUGUGAAAUCCCCGGGCUCAACCUGGGACCUGCAUUUGUGACUGUAUAGCUAGAGUACGGUAGAGGGGGAUGGAAUUCCGCGUGUAGCAGUGAAAUGCGUAGAUAUGCGGAGGAACACCGAUGGCGAAGGCAAUCCCCUAGACCUGUACUGACGCUCAUGCACGAGAGCGUGGGGAGCAAACAGGAUUAGAUACCCGAGUAGUCCCUGUCUCUUAUAA
RNAcentral lists this ribosomal RNA (301 nucleotides) under uncultured bacterium. RNAcentral's name for it is "partial 16S ribosomal RNA". It matches the Rfam family "Bacterial small subunit ribosomal RNA", at positions 509 to 809 of the family's 1533-position model. The record is from RNAcentral.